AAUGGGCGCAAGCCUGAUCCAGCCAUGCCGCGUGAGUGAAGAAGGCCUUCGGGUUGUAAAGCUCUUUUGUCAGGGACGAUAAUGACGGUACCUGAAGAAUAAGCCCCGGCAAACUUCGUGCCAGCAGCCGCGGUAAUACGAAGGGGGCUAGCGUUGUUCGGAAUUACUGGGCGUAAAGCGCACGUAGGCGGGUGAUUAAGUCAGGGGUGAAAUCCCAGAGCUCAACUCUGGAACUGCCUUUGAUACUGGUCAUCUUGAGUUCGGAAGAGGUUAGUGGAAUUCCCAGUGUAGAGGUGAAAUUCGUAGAUAUUGGGAAGAACACCAGUGGCGAAGGCGGCUAACUGGUCCGAUACUGACGCUGAGGUGCGAAAGCGUGGGGAGCAAA
RNAcentral lists this ribosomal RNA (385 nucleotides) under uncultured bacterium. RNAcentral's name for it is "bacterial SSU rRNA". It matches the Rfam family "Bacterial small subunit ribosomal RNA", at positions 370 to 772 of the family's 1533-position model. The record is from RNAcentral.